RNAcentral lists this long non-coding RNA (346 nucleotides) under Junco hyemalis (dark-eyed junco). RNAcentral's name for it is "lncRNA (ENSJHYG00000000251.1)". The record is from RNAcentral. Lineage: Eukaryota; Metazoa; Chordata; Aves; Passeriformes; Passerellidae.
GGGGGGGGGACGGCAGCGCUGGGUUGGCUCCCUGCCCCCCUUCCCCCUCCCGGCCGGAGGAAGAUGGAGCUCGGUUAGCGAGGGCUCGCGGGAGGAGCGGCGGGAGCAGAUAAAACAGUGAAGUCUUUAACUGCUCCAGAAGAAGAGGAUCCGGAAGGAAAAUGUCUCUGGCAAAGAAGUAUCAGGCACAUGAUACUGCAGAGAUUCAAAAUCAGAAGUAAAUCAACUGGACAGUUGCCUCCUGCCUUCCUAAAUAGGCAAACAUAUUAGCAACAGAAGAAGGGGCCUACCUACCUCAUUCCUGGAGAAGGUGGGUUUGCUGCUGUGGAUGCCUGCCUCGUUUGCU